Molecule: unclassified non-coding RNA, 301 nt
Filed under: Hevea brasiliensis (rubber tree)
Lineage: Eukaryota; Viridiplantae; Streptophyta; Magnoliopsida; Malpighiales; Euphorbiaceae
Source: RNAcentral
GCCACCUGAGACAAUGUGCAUGUUCUCAAUAAAAAGCCUUGCGCCAAUAAAUUUAAGAGAAAAAUGCCUACUAGAAAAAUAAGAGCACAAAAGCAGGGUACUCAAUUUUUUAAAUAAAUAUUAACCAAAACUGAUGUGCUCAAACCACAAAGACCAGAUACAGGCAGUGCCGUACAGCCUAACUUAAGCAGUCAGGUCAAACAGAACCUCAAGAUAAUAUCCGGAAAUGACCAAAAUUCAAUUUACCUAGUGCUUCUAUAGCAUUCAACUGGAUUAAUCUGGGCCAGAAAAACCAUGUGGG